Molecule: unclassified non-coding RNA, 1878 nt
Filed under: uncultured fungus
Lineage: Eukaryota; Fungi
Description: sequence contains 18S rRNA gene, ITS1, 5.8S rRNA gene, ITS2, 28S rRNA gene
Rfam family: Eukaryotic large subunit ribosomal RNA (bases 666-1878)
Source: RNAcentral
GGAAGGAUCAUUAAUUUGUUGUGUAGCAAGAGCAGCAGCAUUUUUUGUUGUUGUUCUUGGCUCUACCCACGUGGUGUGAACAUUUUUCGACUCACGAGCCCCCUUUUUUUCUUUCACAAGAACCAACAACCCAACAAACAAACAAAAAACACACGAACCAAAGAAAAACAUCAAAUAAUAGAGAAAAAAACAACUCUAGGCAAUGGAUAUCUUGGUUCCCGCCACGAUGAAGAACGCAGCGAAAUGCGAUACGUAGUGCGAAUUGCAGGACUCAGUGAAUCAUCGAAUCUUUGAACGCAAGUUGCGCCUGCGGGAUAGUCCUUCAGGCAUGCUUUGUUGAGUAUUGAUUUCCGAUUUAUUAGGAUCGAGUGCGUGAUUUGGUCUGGUGACCUCGGUCACAGGGUGCAAGUCACGUGAAGAGCAGUCACGUGGUCGGUUCACGAGGAGGCGAGGGCCAGCCGGUGGGCGGCACUGCAACGAGAGAGAAUCUUUGUGUUGUGGUGUCGUCUGUAAUCCGGCGGGUCCUCUCUCUGUGUGUCUUUCCCCGGCCCCAGGGUUUUGCGACCAGCCUCUCAACCAGAGCAGGUCCAAUCUUUCUUUUAUUUUAUUUUGGGGGCGGUUAACCCCCACCCCAAAAAAAAAAAGAAAACCAACAACAAUACAAUAAAUCUCAACUAAAGCAAGAAGACCCCCUGAAUUUAAGCAUAUAAGUAAGGGGAGGAAAAGAAACCAACGAGGAUUCCCCUAGUAACGGCGAGUGAAGCGGGAGGAGCCCAAGGUGAGAACCGCGACGGCAUGCGCCGUCAAGAACUCCAAAAGAGGCGGGUUGUAGUCUAGAGCAGCGUGUCCCAGCGUGCGACCCGGUCCCAAGUCCUACUGGAAGGUGGCGCGGCGCAGGGUGAGAGCCCCGUGAGAGGACCGGAGUGGAAAGAUCGCCGCGUACGGCGCGCAAGGUUGCUACGAGUCGAGUUGUUUGGGAUUGCAGCUCCAAGCGGGAGGUAACGAGCUUCCAAGGCUAAAUAAGUGCGGGAGACCGAUAGCGAAGAAGUACCGCGAGGGAAAGGUGAAAAGAACUUUGAAAAGAGAGUGAAAAGUGCUUGAAAUUGCCGAGAGGGAAGCCAGGGAAAUGAUUGUUAAGGAGGCGGGGCGGUGUGUCGGGUGCUGGGGAAGUGGGAAACCAAAGACCUUGGCUAACCGUGUGCACACAAACCCCGCUGGUCAGCAUGAGUUUUGCAGCGGCGGAGUUGCGCGCCAGGGAAGGUGGCAGAGUGGGGUGCGUGUAAAAAGCGUGUUCCCGUUUUGUUUUAUAGCCCGUCGGGCGAGAGUGGCGUACCCGUGCGAGACUGAGGAAUCGAAAGAAGAAAUGUGAGGGCGGCGUGCGAACAGGGGAAGAGCGGCGAGUGGCCGUCUGGGGUAUUCUCAACCGAGGGCCAGGGAGAAGAAACUUCUGCCUGCCCGUGUUUACUCUGGCCAGUGUAGCCCGUAGAAAGAUUCCACCUUUGAGCCCCCUAACAGAUGCUGACGUAAAUGGUUUUCCUGGACCCGUCUUGAAACACGGACCAAGGAGUCCAACAUCCGUGCGAGUAUUUGGGCGUGAAAACCCUGAUGCGUAGUGAAAGUGAAAUCGAGGUGGUAAGGUGAGCCUGCUGGGCAACCAAAGGGCAAAACCCCUCCCCAUCGACCGAUCACGGCUUGUAAACCGAGAUUUGAGUGAGAGCACGGCUGCUGGGACCCGAAAGAUGGUGAACUAUGCCCGCGCAGGGCGAAGCCAGGAGAAAUUCUGGUGGAGGCUCGACACGGUUCUGACGUGCAAAUCGAUCGUUUGACGUGGGUAUAGGGGCGAAAUACUAAUCGAACUAUCUAGUAGCUGGUUCCCCC